UGGGGAAUAUUGCACAAUGGGCGAAAGCCUGAUGCAGCAACGCCGCGUGAGUGAUGAAGGUCUUCGGAUUGUAAAGCUCUGUCUUUUGGGACGAUAAUGACGGUACCAAAGGAGGAAGCCACGGCUAACUGCGUGCCAGCAGCCGCGGUAAUACGUAGGUGGCGAGCGUUGUCCGGAUUUACUGGGCGUAAAGGGUGCGUAGGCGGAUGUUUAAGUGAGAUGUGAAAUACCCGGGCUUAACUUGGGUGCUGCAUUUCAAACUGGAUAUCUAGAGUGCAGGAGAGGAGAAUGGAAUUCCUAGUGUAGCGGUGAAAUGCGUAGAGAUUAGGAAGAACACCAGUGGCGAAGGCGAUUCUCUGGACUGUAACUGACGCUGAGGCACGAAAGCGUGGGUAGCAAACAGGAUUAGAUACCCUGGUAGUCCACGCCGUAAACGAUGAGUACUAGGUGUAGGAGGUAUCGACCCCUUCUGUGCCGCAGUAAACACAUUAAGUACUCCGCCUGGGAAGUACGAUCGCAAGAUUAAAAC
RNAcentral lists this ribosomal RNA (529 nucleotides) under uncultured bacterium. Its description in RNAcentral is "partial 16S ribosomal RNA". It matches the Rfam family "Bacterial small subunit ribosomal RNA", at positions 355 to 900 of the family's 1533-position model. The record is from RNAcentral.